CUGACUGCUAUCGGAUUGUACUAGCCAUGCGAGUCAUUGUAGCAAUACAAGGCGGACGGCUCAGUAACACGUAGUCAACCUAACUCGUGGACGUGGAUAACCUCGGGAAACUGAGAAUAAACCACGAUAGAUCAUAGUGCUGGAAUGGCUUAUGGUCCAAACAGUUUACUGCCAUGGGAUGGGACUGCGGCCUAUCAGCUUGUUGGUGAGGUAAUGGCCCACCAAGGCGAUUACAGGUACGGGCUCUGAGAGGAGUAGCCCGGAGAUGGGUACUGAGACACGGACCCAGGCCCUAUGGGGCGCAGCAGGCGAGAAACCUUAGCAAUGUGCGAAAGCACGACUGGGUCAGUCCGAGUGAUUCCUGAUAAAGGAGUCUUUUGCCUGUCCUAAAAGCACAGGUGAAUAAGGGGUGGGCAAGUCUGGUGUCAGCCGCCGCGGUAAUACCAGCACCUCGAGUGGUCAGGACGUUUAUUGGGCCUAAAGCAUCCGUAGCCGGCUCUGCAAGUCUUCGGUUAAAUCCACCUGCUCAACAGAUGGGCCGCUGGAGAUACUACAGAGCUAGGGAGUGGGAGAGGCAGACGGUAUUCAGUGGGUAGGGGUAAAAUCCUCUGAUCCAUUGAGGACCACCAGUGGCGAAGGCGGUCUGCCAGAACACGUUCGACGGUGAGGGAUGAAAGCUGGGGGAGCAAACCGGAUUAGAUACCCGGGUAGUCCCAGCUGUAAACGAUGCAAACUCGGUGAUGCAUUGGCUUAUGGCCAAUGCAGUGCCGCAGGGAAGCCGUUAAGUUUGCCGCCUGGGAAGUACGGACGCAAGUCUGAAACUUAAAGGAAUUGGCGGGGGAGCACCACAAGGGGUGAAGCCUGCGGUUCAAUUGGAUUCAACGCC
This 886-nucleotide ribosomal RNA is filed under the name uncultured archaeon. RNAcentral's name for it is "bacterial SSU rRNA". It matches the Rfam family "Archaeal small subunit ribosomal RNA", at positions 23 to 919 of the family's 1478-position model. The record is from RNAcentral.